This 20-nucleotide microRNA is filed under the name Homo sapiens (human). RNAcentral's name for it is "hsa-miR-4633-5p". Lineage: Eukaryota; Metazoa; Chordata; Mammalia; Primates; Hominidae. The record is from miRBase by way of RNAcentral.
AUAUGCCUGGCUAGCUCCUC